AGUGAAUAGAUACCCCGGUAGUCCCACGCCGUAAACGAUGCUCGCUAGGUGUCAGGCAUGGCGCGACCGUGUCUGGUGCCGCAGGGAAGCCGUGAAGCGAGCCACCUGGGAAGUACGGCCGCAAGGCUGAAACUUAAAGGAAUUGGCGGGGGAGCACAACAACGGGUGGAGCCUGCGGUUUAAUUGGACUCAACGCCGGACAACUCACCGGGGGUCGACAGCAAUAUGUAGGCCAAGCUGAAGACUUUGCCUGAAUCGCUGAGAGGAGGUGCAUGGCCGUCGCCAGUUCGUACUGUGAAGCAUCCUGUUAAGUCAGGCAACGAGCGAGACCCGUGCCCACUGUUACCAGCAUGUCCUCCGGG
RNAcentral lists this ribosomal RNA (362 nucleotides) under uncultured bacterium. Its description in RNAcentral is "bacterial SSU rRNA". It matches the Rfam family "Archaeal small subunit ribosomal RNA", at positions 724 to 1083 of the family's 1478-position model. The record is from RNAcentral.